This 118-nucleotide ribosomal RNA is filed under the name uncultured bacterium. RNAcentral describes it as "partial 16S ribosomal RNA". It matches the Rfam family "Bacterial small subunit ribosomal RNA", at positions 1365 to 1482 of the family's 1533-position model. The record is from RNAcentral.
AAUACGUUCCCGGUCCUUGUACACACCGCCCGUCACACCACGAAAGUCGGCAACACCCGAAGCCGGUGGCCUAACCGUAAGGAAGGAGCCGUCGAAGGUGGGGUCGGUGAUUGGGGUG